UUCCAAGAUUCCCUAGAUUUAACAAGGCACGUAAUUGUCAACAGAAAAAUGACUAUUAAAUUUAUAUAACAUUACAAAAUAUUUCUUUUCAGUUUGACAUUCACUGUGGGUUAAGCAAAAUAUUAAAGCAUUUAUUGAGAAGAGUAGAAAAAUCUAAUUAGGCAAGGAUACAAAGGUAAAAAUAAUAAACAGAGAUAUAGUUAAAAAAGAUCUGAUACUGAGGACGGAUGCAGCCACUGUUAUAGGUAGGAAGUUGGGAAGGUUCGAUACAUAAAGUUAUUUCAUUUAUAUCUUUAAACAAUGAUAAAACAUUGCUUGACGAAAGACGACUCUGAGCACAGUUUCCUAAUACAUAAUUUGAAUUGCCGGAAUUU
Non-coding RNA from Cinara cedri, 374 nucleotides. The record is from the annotation of a GenBank genome assembly. Lineage: Eukaryota; Metazoa; Arthropoda; Insecta; Hemiptera; Aphididae.